AGACAUAAAAUUCAUCCUUGGUGAGAAAUUGAAGAAAAAAUUAAAAUUUUUUUUAUUAAUUUAUGUUUU
This 69-nucleotide transfer RNA is filed under the name Rhipicephalus microplus (southern cattle tick). RNAcentral's name for it is "tRNA-Phe". The record is from RNAcentral. Lineage: Eukaryota; Metazoa; Arthropoda; Arachnida; Ixodida; Ixodidae.